RNAcentral lists this unclassified non-coding RNA (535 nucleotides) under Aspergillus fumigatus. RNAcentral's name for it is "sequence contains ITS1, 5.8S rRNA gene". The stretch from base 158 to 311 matches the Rfam family "5.8S ribosomal RNA". The record is from RNAcentral. Lineage: Eukaryota; Fungi; Ascomycota; Eurotiomycetes; Eurotiales; Aspergillaceae.
CCCACCCGUGUCUAUCGUACCUUGUUGCUUCGGCGGGCCCGCCGUUUCGACGGCCGCCGGGGAGGCCUUGCGCCCCCGGGCCCGCGCCCGCCGAAGACCCCAACAUGAACGCUGUUCUGAAAGUAUGCAGUCUGAGUUGAUUAUCGUAAUCAGUUAAAACUUUCAACAACGGAUCUCUUGGUUCCGGCAUCGAUGAAGAACGCAGCGAAAUGCGAUAAGUAAUGUGAAUUGCAGAAUUCAGUGAAUCAUCGAGUCUUUGAACGCACAUUGCGCCCCCUGGUAUUCCGGGGGGCAUGCCUGUCCGAGCGUCAUUGCUGCCCUCAAGCACGGCUUGUGUGUUGGGCCCCCGUCCCCCUCUCCCGGGGGACGGGCCCGAAAGGCAGCGGCGGCACCGCGUCCGGUCCUCGAGCGUAUGGGGCUUUGUCACCUGCUCUGUAGGCCCGGCCGGCGCCAGCCGACACCCAACUUUAUUUUUCUAAGGUUGACCUCGGAUCAGGUAGGGAUACCCGCUGAACUUAAGCAUAUCAAUAAGCGG